CAGGUGCCCCACUCACAGGCCAAUAGAAAGAGAUAUAAGUUACAGGUGCCCCACUCACAGGCCAAUAGAAAGAGAUAUAAGUUACUCACACACACAGGUGCCCCACUCACAGGCCAAUAGAAAGAGAUAUAAGUUACUCACACAGACAGGUGCCCCACUCACAGGCCAAUAGAAAGAGAUAUAAGUUACAGGUGCCCCACUCACAGGCCAAUAGAAAGAGAUAUAAGUUACUCACACACACAGGUGCCCCACUCACAGGCCAAUAGAAAGAGAUAUAAGUUACUCACACACACAGGUGCCCCACUCACAGGCCAAUAGAAAGAGAUAUAAGUUACUCACACACACAGGUGUCCCACUCACAGGCCAAUAGAAAGAGAUAUAAGUUACAGGUGUCCCACUCACAGGUGCC
Molecule: long non-coding RNA, 409 nt
Organism: Xenopus tropicalis (tropical clawed frog)
Lineage: Eukaryota; Metazoa; Chordata; Amphibia; Anura; Pipidae
Exons: 3
Source: RefSeq, a predicted model, not a curated record